GACGAACGCUGGCGGCGUGCCUAAUACAUGCAAGUAGAACGCUGAAGAGAGGAGCUUGCUCUUCUUGGAUGAGUUGCGAACGGGUGAGUAACGCGUAGGUAACCUGCCUGGUAGCGGGGGAUAACUAUUGGAAACGAUAGCUAAUACCGCAUAAAAUGGAUUAUCGCAUGAUAAUCCAUUGAAAGGUGCAAAUGCAUCACUACCAGAUGGACCUGCGUUGUAUUAGCUAGUUGGUGGGGUAACGGCUCACCAAGGCGACGAUACAUAGCCGACCUGAGAGGGUGAUCGGCCACACUGGGACUGAGACACGGCCCAGACUCCUACGGGAGGCAGCAGUAGGGAAUCUUCGGCAAUGGACGGAAGUCUGACCGAGCAACGCCGCGUGAGUGAAGAAGAUUUUCGGAUCGUAAAGCUCUGUUGUAAGAGAAGAACGAGUGUGAGAGUGGAAAGUUCACACUGUGACGGUAUCUUACCAGAAAGGGACGGCUAACUACGUG
This 497-nucleotide ribosomal RNA is filed under the name uncultured bacterium. RNAcentral describes it as "partial 16S ribosomal RNA". It matches the Rfam family "Bacterial small subunit ribosomal RNA", at positions 28 to 507 of the family's 1533-position model. The record is from RNAcentral.